CCAUCGGUCUGAAGUAUCAUCCGUUCGUAGGGAGUAAUAUGGACUCCUACAAGUCACGAUGUUGAUACAUCAGAAUUGGUUGUGCCCAAGUCUGUUAGGUAUGAUUUUUCACAUAAAAAGGAUAAAAUUAAGCCUGAUACCUGGACUACGUGGGUACAUUAUGUCAACAACGUCGGCUACGGGUAUAAUCCGUUCGUUAGAGUCGUCAACACUUGUCCCCUCUCUCGGGCCUGCAACACAUUCAGUUUCCUGGGAUGGUGUUUGACUUGGUGAACAUAUACCUGGAGGUAUCGGCGAUGAUGUCGUCUGUUCCGUUGGCUUGCUGUGUGGAGUCCCCAUAGGUAACUACUAAAAAAAGACAUGUCCAACAGACUCAGGCAUCCCGCAAAAACUUGUAAACUGACUCUGCAAGCAGAUAACGUGAAAUACCAACAGUACUAAACGCCCGUUCCCAUGCUACAGGAACUCAGUCCAUAAGGGUAGCUUUGCUAUACAACUGAAAAUAGAAAGACAUGUCCAACAGACUUUGCUCAGAAAUAUUUAUUUGAAAACUGAAUUUGCUGGUUAUAAACAUGAUCGGGGUUGCUUGGUCUGAGUAUUGGAGCCUGUUAACAGGAAAAAUGACUACCACGACUGCACAUGCCAGCUCUGACCUCCCGUAUUAUGUUAAUCAUUUACGUUGUAUUUUUGUUAUCAAGCACAUAACUGUAUUACACAAGAUCUAUUUUUAUUUGCACUACAUUUGAGUUGAGAAUCAGUUUCUGUUGUAACAAAAUAGCAAUAGAUAUGUCGGUUAAUUUCAUGUGUACCAUAGGUGCAAAAUGAAUUAUGGCAUGGCUUGAUUUAGUUUUUGUUUGCUUUCAUCCUUUUAUUCGUUUGGUUUAUUCCAGGUCCAUAUAAUUAUGAUGUCUUGGAGGGUAUGACGUUCGGCAAUAUUUCUGAAUCCUUCAAUGCUGACUUUGAGGAUGGUACAAUCGGGGAGGUAAUUAUUUUUCCUUUUGUCAUGUGAAGCCCAACACUAUGCUAUUAACCAGGUAUGGAUCUUUGAGAGUAUCCUUCUGGGUGAAUAUGGAGAAGUAAUGAAUAUCCAAGUACUUGCUGUGGCUGAAAGGGUAGACCUGCUCUAACCAAAGGACCUUUAGAUGCUUGGCCCAGUUCGCCCAUUGUUUUUGACUACAACCAUUGCACUUACUGUUGUGGACCGGUUCGGUAAUUAACCAAAGGAUGAUUGUAAUAGUUGGCUCUGCCUGUCAUGUAUAGAGUAACCGAAAGUUGUAUAUGUUCCUCCCAAGUUAUCAUGUAUUACAUUUGUGGACAGUUGUAUAUGUUCUGAUCUGUACACGUAUGCAUAACAAACAAAGCCUGGGUGUUCAUACCUGGGGUUGAAUCCGUACAGAGUCGCCCACGGGAACUCCUAUGUCGCUGUCGUGGUUCCGCGGCGGCGGCGUUGUCCAGUGGUUCCGUGGCGGCGGUGCUGUCGAGUGGUUCCGCGACGGCGGCGCUGUGGACUAUGCAGAUCCAGAUGGAGUCGGGCGGCGAGAUGCGAGAUCCAGAUGGACUCAGGCGGAGAUCCAAAUGGACUCAGGCGGCGAGAUCUGGUGCGGGGUAUGAGGUUCUACGGCAGGCCGAUCCUGCGUGGGCGGGGUUCUCGGUGGGUUGGUGUGGGGGUGAUGGGACGGAAAAAACCGGUUGAAAAAAAACCAGACGAAAGUGGG
This 1715-nucleotide long non-coding RNA is filed under the name Triticum aestivum (bread wheat). RNAcentral's name for it is "long non-coding RNA (TAES_LNC010936)". The record is from RNAcentral. Lineage: Eukaryota; Viridiplantae; Streptophyta; Magnoliopsida; Poales; Poaceae.